GGUUUGGUGGCCGAGUGGUCUAAGGCGCUACGUUUAGGUUGAUUGAUCAAAAUCCGUAGUUCGAAAGAGCGCGCGUUCGAAUCGCGCCCAAAUCA
This is a non-coding RNA of Choiromyces venosus 120613-1, 95 nucleotides long. Lineage: Eukaryota; Fungi; Ascomycota; Pezizomycetes; Pezizales; Tuberaceae. The record is from the annotation of a GenBank genome assembly.